RNAcentral lists this ribosomal RNA (444 nucleotides) under Physarum viride. RNAcentral's name for it is "eukaryotic LSU rRNA". The stretch from base 1 to 95 matches the Rfam family "5.8S ribosomal RNA", at positions 60 to 154 of the family's 154-position model. The record is from RNAcentral. Lineage: Eukaryota; Evosea; Eumycetozoa; Physariida; Physaraceae.
ACGUCGUGUGAAUUGCAGGGUUCAGCGAAACACGAAAUCCUCGAACGCAUCUUGCGCCCCCAAGCUCACUUGGGGGCGUGCUUGUUUGAGCGUCGUUUAUUAGUAAUCAACAUCAAAUUCCUUUUUGAUUAAUUUCAGAUUGGAAUUUUGCACGUUGGAAUUGAUUGUUCGGUCAUAGGGCUCGCGUUCUAGGCUGAUCUUUCGAAAUAUAGCAACCGAGGGUAGCAUGGUUCUCACGAAGAAAACGCCUCAAUUCAUGUCUUAAAGUUGUGAAGGUUCCUUUACGGACCCCUUUUUUGUUAGGAUAGAGGAUGUGUUCAUGUGAUUAUUCAAGGCUUUUCCUCCUGAAUCUCCUGAUAAAGGAGAGGCUGAUGUUGAUAGCAGCUGUUCUUUUGAACAAUUAUCAACAUUUAAAUAUUAAACUCGCGACCUCAAAUCAAGCAA